Molecule: ribosomal RNA, 400 nt
Filed under: Bruchidius marginalis
Lineage: Eukaryota; Metazoa; Arthropoda; Insecta; Coleoptera; Chrysomelidae
Description: partial 12S small subunit ribosomal RNA
Source: RNAcentral
UAAACUAGGAUUAGAUACCCUAUUAUUUUAAAUGUAAAUUUUAAAUACUAAAUUAGUAUUAGAUAUGUUCUUGAAAAUUAAAAAAUUUGGCGGUAUUUUAGUCUUUUCAGAGGAACUUGCCCUGUAAUUGAUAGUCCACGAUUAUAUUUACUUUAUUUAUUAGUUUACAUAUCGUCGUAGUUUGAAUAUUUUAAUAGAAAUUUAAUAUUCAUAAUUUUUUAUUAAAAAAUAAAUCAGAUCAAGGUGUAGUUUAUAAUAAAGAAGAGGUGAGUUACAUUAAAUUUAUUUAAGGAUAAUUUUUUUAAAAAAAAUUUGAAUGUGGAUUUGAUAGUAAUUUUUAUUAUAUUUAUUUAAAAUGAUUAUAGCUCUAAAAUAUGCACACAUCGCCCGUCGCUCUUAA